UGACGCGCGCUCCGGGGUUCACCGCGCCAGCAGGGGUGGAUGGGUCCUCACGUGUCAUAUUCGAGAGGAUAAGGAUGGCAAAAGCUGUCAUUGACUCGGUACCUUCGAUGGAGUGGGACAUGUGUUGUUCUCUGCACGUGUUCCCUUAUUCCCGAGGGCUGGCUGCUUCUCGAACCAUGAAUUUUGUCUCACGGCCUCCCGAUUCCUUGUGUCAAAAACAUUCCGCAACAGCUCUGAGUGCUACGAACCCGGCUGGGUCAUCUGCUGCUGCUGGCUUCCAGGUCUGCACAUCUGUGACUCAUCAUUUAAAACUAGGCCCUAGUUCAUUUAUGUAACAGUUCUUCUACCCUAUUUUGCUCAUCAACCUGUUCGUACUUCCCAUCACUUUUUUUUCUGUUUGUUCAUCUUAGACAUUGUUCCGAACAUUUUCAUACUGGAAGGCUGGUGAUGUCCCAAGACAGUGAGAGUGUAGUUUUCUACUGCCUAAUAUUUGGUAAGGCUCAUAAAGCAUGUCGAUGAAAAGAGACAAAAGAAUGACUGUAGCAUGGUGCAGUGACAGACAGCUGGCAGGAUCUGUGUACAUACUAUGUUUGUGCCCCAUUUCAUCUGAGGCCUUUGGAGGAAGCUGAAAAUGCACAUAGUUUGAUAAUCUCCAACUGUCUUUCUGUGCAUGAACUCAAGAGCUGGAACUGAGUUACAAAGGAUGCGAAGCUGGUUCCCAGCAUUUGGCAGCCAGUUCUCAGGGGUCUGCAUCCAGGAUUUUAGAUGAUGUUCACCUUUUCAUGAGUAAACUUACCCAGGGUAGCUGAAAUCACAGCUCUGGGUAUUCUAACACCAGCUUGUCACAUCAUUGAGCAUGGCUACUUAAGGGUGGAAGAUAAGACCUAUAUAUCCUUCAGCAGGUACGGGGGAUGGCUCCAACGGACGACAUCUUUGACUUUGAAGAGACCAAUCUGACCACUGUAGAGUAGCCUCAGGCUCCAAGUGAAUGCCUCAAUGCAGCCAAACUUGCUCAACAUCCAAAAGAGGCCACAGAUGGUAUCUACUGCUUCUGUAAGGUUGAAGAAUACAGUGUAGAGAUCCUGAUGUUAA
Molecule: long non-coding RNA, 1092 nt
Organism: Felis catus (domestic cat)
Lineage: Eukaryota; Metazoa; Chordata; Mammalia; Carnivora; Felidae
Exons: 2
Source: RefSeq, a predicted model, not a curated record